Molecule: ribosomal RNA, 492 nt
Filed under: uncultured bacterium
Lineage: Bacteria
Description: partial 16S ribosomal RNA
Rfam family: Bacterial small subunit ribosomal RNA
Source: RNAcentral
AGUGAACGCUGGCGGUAGGCCUAACACAUGCAAGUCGAACGGCAGCACAGUAAGAGCUUGCUCUUACGGGUGGCGAGUGGCGGACGGGUGAGGAAUACAUCGGAAUCUACUUUUUCGUGGGGGAUAACGUAGGGAAACUUACGCUAAUACCGCAUACGACCUACGGGUGAAAGCAGGGGAUCUUCGGACCUUGCGCGAUUGAAUGAGCCGAUGUCGGAUUAGCUAGUUGGCGGGGUGAAGGCCCACCAAGGCGCCGAUCCGUAGCUGGUCUGAGAGGAUGAUCAGCCACACUGGAACUGAGACACGGUCCAGACUCCUACGGGAGGCAGCAGUGGGGAAUAUUGGACAAUGGGCGCAAGCCUGAUCCAGCCAUACCGCGUGGGUGAAGAAGGCCUUCGGGUUGUAAAGCCCUUUUGUUGGGAAAGAAAAGCAGCAGGUUAAUACCCCGCUGUUCUGACGGUACCCAAAGAAUAAGCACCGGCUAACUUCGUG